UAGCCUUUAACACUUGGACUUUUGGGUC
RNAcentral lists this non-coding RNA (28 nucleotides) under Rattus norvegicus (Norway rat). The record is from RNAcentral. Lineage: Eukaryota; Metazoa; Chordata; Mammalia; Rodentia; Muridae.